GGGUGAGUAAUACAUCGGAACAUGUCCUGUAGUGGGGGAUAGCCCGGCGAAAGCCGGAUUAAUACCGCAUACGAUCUACGGAUGAAAGCGGGGGACCUUCGGGCCUCGCGCUAUAGGGUUGGCCGAUGGCUGAUUAGCUAGUUGGUGGGGUAAAGGCCUACCAAGGCGACGAUCAGUAGCUGGUCUGAGAGGACGACCAGCCACACUGGGACUGAGACACGGCCCAGACUCCUACGGGAGGCAGCAGUGGGGAAUUUUGGACAAUGGGCGAAAGCCUGAUCCAGCAAUGCCGCGUGUGUGAAGAAGGCCUUCGGGUUGUAAAGCACUUUUGUCCGGAAAGAAAUCCUUGGUUCUAAUAUAGCCGGGGGAUGACGGUACCGGAAGAAUAAGCACCGGCUAACUACGUGCCAGCAGCCGCGGUAAUACGUAGGGUGCAAGCGUUAAUCGGAAUUACUGGGCGUAAAGCGUGCGCAGGCGGUUUGUUAAGACCGAUGUGAAAUCCCCGGGCUCAACCUGGGAACUGCAUUGGUGACUGGCAAGCUAGAGUAUGGCAGAGGGGGGUAGAAUUCCACGUGUAGCAGUGAAAUGCGUAGAGAUGUGGAGGAAUACCGAUGGCGAA
This 619-nucleotide ribosomal RNA is filed under the name Burkholderia ambifaria. Its description in RNAcentral is "bacterial SSU rRNA". It matches the Rfam family "Bacterial small subunit ribosomal RNA", at positions 104 to 719 of the family's 1533-position model. The record is from RNAcentral. Lineage: Bacteria; Pseudomonadati; Pseudomonadota; Betaproteobacteria; Burkholderiales; Burkholderiaceae.